Molecule: non-coding RNA, 29 nt
Filed under: Rattus norvegicus (Norway rat)
Lineage: Eukaryota; Metazoa; Chordata; Mammalia; Rodentia; Muridae
Source: RNAcentral
UACAGAUAACUGUGUAUUAGUUCUGUUGC